RNAcentral lists this small RNA (164 nucleotides) under human gut metagenome. RNAcentral's name for it is "Clostridiales-1 RNA". It matches the Rfam family "Clostridiales-1 RNA". The record is from RNAcentral.
GAUACCAGGGGCGAAAGGUCCAAAUCCAUUUGAACUUGUUCAUAAAUGGAUGAAGGACUUUGAGACCCGCCUCCAUAUGAGCAUAAAAGUGGGAUGAUAAUCCCACGAUAUGCGAAUGUGGAGAUGGAUUGUGAGAGGGCGAAGCACGGAACAAUCCAUGGUAU